RNAcentral lists this ribosomal RNA (433 nucleotides) under uncultured bacterium. RNAcentral's name for it is "partial 16S ribosomal RNA". It matches the Rfam family "Bacterial small subunit ribosomal RNA", at positions 29 to 507 of the family's 1533-position model. The record is from RNAcentral.
AACGAACGCUGGCGGCAGGCCUAACACAUGCAAGUCGAGCGAACACUUCGGGGUUUUCGGCGGAUGGGUGAGUCACGCGUGGGAAUAUGCCCUUCUCUACGGACUAGCUCUGGGACACGGGGGACAUUAGCGAACACGUGCUUUGACCGAAUGAUUUAUCGGGGAAGGAUUAGCCCGCGUUGGAUUAGGUAGUUGGUGGGGUAAUGGCCUACCAAGCGGACGAUCCAUAGCUGGUUAGAGAGGAUGAUCAGCCACACUGGGACUGAGACACGGCCCAGACUCCUACGGGAGGCAGCAGAGGGGAAUCUUAGACAAUGGGGGCAACCCUGAUCUAGCCAGGACGGGUGAGUGAUGAAGGCCUGAGGGUUGUAAAGCGCUUUUAGCUGGGAAGAUAAUGAUGGUACCAGCAGAAGAAGCCCCGGCUAACUCCGUG